This 465-nucleotide ribosomal RNA is filed under the name uncultured bacterium. RNAcentral describes it as "partial 16S ribosomal RNA". It matches the Rfam family "Bacterial small subunit ribosomal RNA", at positions 28 to 507 of the family's 1533-position model. The record is from RNAcentral.
GACGAACGCUGGCGGCGUGCUUAACACAUGCAAGUCGAACGGAAAGGCCCUGCUUGCAGGGUACUCGAGUGGCGAACGGGUGAGUAACACGUGGGGGAUCUGCACUGCACUUCGGGAUAAGCCCGGGAAACUGGGUCUAAUACCGGAUAGGAGCCAUUUUUAGUGUGAUGGGUGGAAAGUUUUUUAUGUGUAGGAGUAGGUCGCGGCCUAUCAGCUUGGUGGUGGUGUAAUGGCCUACCAAGGCGGCGGCGGGUAGCCGGCCUGGGAGGGUGGACGGCCACAUUGAGACUGAGACACGGCCCAGACUCCUACUGGAGGCAGCAGCAGGGAAUAUUGCAAAAUGAGAGUAGGCCUGAUGCAGCGCCGCCGCGUGGGGGAUAACGGCCUUCGGGUUGUAAACUCCUUGCGCUAGGGCCGAAGAUUUUUGUGACGGUACCUAGAUAAGAAGCACCGGCUAACUCCGUG